GCUCUGGGGUGUGACACAUCAAAAUGCAAAUUUGAAGAAGAGCCCUAAAAGGGCUCCGGGGCU
Molecule: transfer RNA, 63 nt
Filed under: Iguana iguana (Common green iguana)
Lineage: Eukaryota; Metazoa; Chordata; Lepidosauria; Squamata; Iguanidae
Also listed under: 1 other name
Description: tRNA-Cys
Source: RNAcentral